AGAGUUUGAUCUGGCUCAGGAUAAACGCUGGCGGCGUGCCUAACACAUGCAAGUCGAACGAUCCCGCAAGGGAGAGUGGCGGAAGGGUGAGUAACACGUGGGAAUCUACCUCCUCGCAGGGAACAACCUCUCGAAAGAGAGGCUAAUACCCAAAAGGGUCAGAAAUGAUCAGAGUCGAAAGGCGUGAGGAGAGGAGCCCGCGGCCCAUCAGCUAGUUGGUGAGGUAAUGGCUUACCAAGGCUACGACGGGUAGGGGAUCUGAGAGGAUGUCCCCCACACUGGAACUGAAACACGGUCCAGACGCCUACGGGUGGCAGCAGUGAGGAAUAUUGGACAAUGGGCGAAAGCCCGAUCCAGCAACGCCGCGUGGAGGAUGAAGGCCUUCGGGUCGUAAACUUCUUUAGAGGGAGACGAGAAAGGACGGUAUCCCUAGAAUAAGCGACGGCAAACUACGUG
This 456-nucleotide ribosomal RNA is filed under the name uncultured bacterium. RNAcentral's name for it is "bacterial SSU rRNA". It matches the Rfam family "Bacterial small subunit ribosomal RNA", at positions 8 to 507 of the family's 1533-position model. The record is from RNAcentral.